RNAcentral lists this ribosomal RNA (165 nucleotides) under Solenostomus cyanopterus (ghost pipefish). Its description in RNAcentral is "partial 12S ribosomal RNA". The record is from RNAcentral. Lineage: Eukaryota; Metazoa; Chordata; Actinopteri; Syngnathiformes; Solenostomidae.
CACCGCGGUUAUACGUAAAACUCAAGUCAAUAACCUCCGGCGUAAAGAGUGGUCUGAGAAUUUUAUACUAAAGUUGAACUACCUACAAGGUGUUAUACCCCUAAUAGGAAAAGAAAACCGAUGCGAAAGCAACUUUAACAAAUCAAAUCCACGAAAAUUAUGAAA